ACGGAAGGCAGCAGUAGGGAAUAUUGCACAAUGGGGGGAACCCUGAUGCAGCAACGCCACGUGUGGGAAGAAGCAUUUCGGUGUGUAAACCACUGUCGUGAGGGAAUAAGACCCGCCUCCGGGCGGGGUUGAAUGUACCUCGAAAGGAAGCACCGGCAAACUUCGUGCCAGCAGCCGCGGUAAUACGAGGGGUGCAAGCGUUGUUCGGAAUCACUGGGCGUAAAGGGAGCGUAGGCGGAAAUGCAAGCAAUCUGUACAAUACCGGGGCCCAACCCCGGACCUGCAGAUUGGACUGUGUUUCUUGGAUAGUUCAGGGGCAGGCGGAAUUCCUGGUGUAGCGGUGGAAUGCGUAGAGAUCAGGAAGAACACCGAUGGCGAAGGCAGCCUGCUGGGGACUUAUCGACGCUGAGGCUCGAAAGUGCGGGUAGCAAACAGGAUUAGAUACCCUGGUA
This 452-nucleotide ribosomal RNA is filed under the name uncultured Fibrobacter sp. RNAcentral describes it as "bacterial SSU rRNA". It matches the Rfam family "Bacterial small subunit ribosomal RNA", at positions 341 to 792 of the family's 1533-position model. The record is from RNAcentral. Lineage: Bacteria; Pseudomonadati; Fibrobacterota; Fibrobacteria; Fibrobacterales; Fibrobacteraceae.